This 253-nucleotide ribosomal RNA is filed under the name uncultured bacterium. RNAcentral describes it as "partial 16S ribosomal RNA". It matches the Rfam family "Bacterial small subunit ribosomal RNA", at positions 524 to 776 of the family's 1533-position model. The record is from RNAcentral.
UACGUAGGGUGCGAGCGUUGUCCGGAAUUAUUGGGCGUAAAGAGCUUGUAGGCGGUUUGUCGCGUCUGCUGUGAAAUCUCAAGGCUCAACCUUGAGCUUGCGGUGGGUACGGGCAGACUAGAGUGUGGUAGGGGAGACUGGAAUUCCUGGUGUAGCGGUGAAAUGCGCAGAUAUCAGGAGGAACACCGAUGGCGAAGGCAGGUCUCUGGGCCACUACUGACGCUGAGGUGCGAAAGCGUGGGGAGCAAACAGG